Molecule: long non-coding RNA, 235 nt
Organism: Canis lupus familiaris (dog)
Lineage: Eukaryota; Metazoa; Chordata; Mammalia; Carnivora; Canidae
Exons: 3
Source: RefSeq, a predicted model, not a curated record
AAAUUUUGUUAUUUUAAGACAAUGAUUUUGUACCAGAAUUAACAAGGCUCAUCUGAGGCGAUCCUCAUAUAGAGACUGUGUUAAAUGGCCACCCCUGGCUCCAAUGGAAGUAGAGAAAAUGAAGAUUUAACAGGGACAUUGUUCUAGCAAGGCUCGAGCUCAAAAUGAUGAUGGAACCAUACUGUUUUCUACAGUGGCUGUACCAGUUUGCAUUCCUACCAACAGUGCAAGAGAG